Molecule: long non-coding RNA, 376 nt
Organism: Xenopus laevis (African clawed frog)
Lineage: Eukaryota; Metazoa; Chordata; Amphibia; Anura; Pipidae
Exons: 2
Source: RefSeq, a predicted model, not a curated record
UCUAACUAAAGACAGACGGAUUUCUCUAUUCUAGGAUUGAGGCAUUAGAAAGGAAGAAACUACCUGAGGAAAAUCCAGUGGCAGAGAAUCCAACAGAAGACACUGAGAACCACCUACGGGCUCAAAUAAAUGAAGAACAGAAAGGUUCUGGAAGCCCCAGUAAUAUCUGCAAUGGAGAAAUUGAUCAGGAAAUCGCAUCCGUCUCAUCCGAAAGUUCCCUCUCAACAAACACCCCUGAAGCCAUUGAAGACACAGAGACAAAUUAAAAAGUCCAGCUACAACAGGGGACAACUGCCACACAAACCAACUUACUAAUCAAUGUCUUAGGAUAACAUGGGCCAACACAUGCUACUUAAAGACUAAAUUCUGUCUAUUG